UAGGGAAUCUUCCACAAUGGACGAAAGUCUAAUGGAGCAACGCCGCGUGAGUGAAGAAGGUUUUCGGAUCGUAAAGCUCUGUUGUUGGUGAAGAAGGAUAGAGGCAGUAACUGGUCUUUAUUUGACGGUAAUCAACCAGAAAGUCACGGCUAACUACUUGCCAG
Molecule: ribosomal RNA, 164 nt
Filed under: uncultured bacterium
Lineage: Bacteria
Description: partial 16S rRNA
Rfam family: Bacterial small subunit ribosomal RNA
Source: RNAcentral